Long non-coding RNA from Suricata suricatta (meerkat), 503 nucleotides. RefSeq lists it as uncharacterized. The transcript has 2 exons. NCBI's taxonomy places the organism in Eukaryota, Metazoa, Chordata, Mammalia, Carnivora, Herpestidae. The record is from RefSeq and is a predicted model, not a curated record.
CUUUGACCAUACAGCAUGUAUCAGACCCUGUAAACGCCCAGGGGGGCCCAGCAUGGUUCUCAUUGUCCACAGGACCAGACACCGUUGGGGCCAGGAGGGCAUUGGCCAGUUCUUCUCUUUGUCCCAAAAGAUUCAGACCUGUAGUUUGAAGCACAAGUUCCUGUGCAUUGUGGUCCGUGGGAACAUAUUCAUUUUGCCUGUUUGUAGGAGGGAGAGCAUUGAAGAAAGGCUAGUGAUGAUGAUGAUGAUGAUGAUGAUGAUGAUGAAGAUGACGACGACAAUGACUGUCAGCAUGCCCGAGCAGUUUUUAUGGCCAAGCUGAGCUGAGUGCUGUGUUCACACACUGUGUUGUUGAAAUUCUCUCAACAGCUCAGAAGGCAGACACAGCCGCCUGGAACGUGAACUCCAUGAAAGCAGGACUUUUUUUUACCACUACAUCCAAUCAUCUAGAACAAGGCCUAGCAUUCAGUAGAACUCAAUAAAUAUUUGUCUUACAAAAGGGA